This 253-nucleotide ribosomal RNA is filed under the name uncultured bacterium. RNAcentral's name for it is "partial 16S ribosomal RNA". It matches the Rfam family "Bacterial small subunit ribosomal RNA", at positions 524 to 776 of the family's 1533-position model. The record is from RNAcentral.
UACGAGGGGGGCAAAUGUUGUUCGGAAUCACUGGGCGUAAAGGGAGCGUAGGCGGGUUUCUAAGUCAGGUGUUUAAUCCCGGGGCCCAACCCCGGACAGGCACUUGAAACUGGGAAUCUUGAAUAGUGGAGAGGUCAGUGGAAUUGGGGGUGUAGCGGUGGAAUGCGUAGAGAUCCCCAAGAACACCAGUUGCGAAGGCGACUUCCUGGCCUGUUCUUGACGCUGAGGCGCGAAAGCUAGGGGAGCAAACGGG